CCUACGGGCGGCAGCAGUGGGGAAUAUUGCGCAAUGGGCGAAAGCCUGACGCAGCGACGCCGCGUGAGGGAUGAAGGUCUUCGGAUCGUAAACCUCUGUCAGCAGGGAAGAACGGUCACUGUGCUAAUCAGCAGUGAAUUGACGGUAACUGCAAAGGAAGCACCGGCUAACUCCGUGCCAGCAGCCGCGGUAAUACGGAGGGUGCGAGCGUUAAUCGGAAUUACUGGGCGUAAAGCGCUCGUAGGCGGUAUGUUAAGUCAAGGGUGAAAUCCCCGGGCUCAACGUGGGAACGGCCGUUGAAACUGGCAAACUUGAGUGUGUGAGAGGAUAGGGGAAUUCCAGGUGUAGGAGUGAAAUCCGUAGAUAUCUGGAGGAACAUCAGUGGCGAAGGCGACUAUCUGGCACAUAACUGACGCUGAGGAGCGAAAGCGUGGGUAGCAAACAGGAUUAGAUACCCCGGUAGUC
This 465-nucleotide ribosomal RNA is filed under the name uncultured bacterium. Its description in RNAcentral is "partial 16S ribosomal RNA". It matches the Rfam family "Bacterial small subunit ribosomal RNA", at positions 338 to 795 of the family's 1533-position model. The record is from RNAcentral.